Drosophila montana is the source of this 1218-nucleotide long non-coding RNA. RefSeq lists it as uncharacterized. The record is from RefSeq and is a predicted model, not a curated record. NCBI's taxonomy places the organism in Eukaryota, Metazoa, Arthropoda, Insecta, Diptera, Drosophilidae. The transcript is spliced from 2 exons.
GAAAAUUGACGAAUCGUUUUAGGAAAUAUUUACUAAAAACUAGACUAAAUAUUUUGGACCACUUUUCAAUUUCGAGCUGUAGUUUUUCUGAGUUUAACAAAAAUCUACUGCUCACGGCUAGUGCUACUCUCUAUCGGCGGCAAACCGAGCUGCACCUUCUCUUCAAUCCAUUAUCAUUAAGCGCAACUGAACUGAACUCAUUAACGGGCUGCCAGGCACAUGAAAAUCUUCGCAAAAUGCAUUAAAUGCCGCCACCGCCGUUGUUGGGUUAACCCCAUUCACACAGGCUGGCCAAAACAAACCCAAAUAGCCAGGCUAACUAAUCAGCUGUCAUGUCUCUAAACUUCUGAGCCGAGCUGGCGGAGGAGCAUAAGCAGAAGUAGCAAAAGCAGCAGCAGCUAGGGGAUUGGCCUGUGUCAAAUGCUGCCUCCGACUGCACUUUCAAAUCCAAUUAAGAGUGUGAACUUGCGUGGCGUUGCAAAUUAACAGAUAGAUAAACGACAACAGCAGCAACAACAACAACAAGUACAGCAAACAAAAUGACAUUGUCACAUUAAAUGCGAAACAAAGCGAAAAUGUGCAACAGUAGCUAGAGAAAGAGCUAGCUGCUGGUAAGAGUAUGAGGAGCUGGAGAAUGCAGUGAUGGGCCAAGCCCAGCUGCACUUUAGUGUCAAACGCAACCAACCCGAACCCGAACCCAAAUCCAAGCCCGAAGCGGAACCCGAACCAAAACCUGAACCAAGUUAAAGGCAACUCACAUCACGGCUAUGCCUCAUUACAAGAACUGCUUCUGGGUUCUGCGCGGCGGCAGCAGCUGCAAUUAUCACAUUGCCAAAUGGUCACGGACCACGAAAUCUCGAUUUUCAGAUAGAACCCAAGCACAAGCAUACAUGAACCCCGACAGCCGAAAGCUGAAAGCCAAGCGAAGCAUUGCACCACACCAUGACUUCAUAAGAUGACUGAAUGCUACUCUAGAGCGAAACAGUACCUAGCUCCCUAUGUUCCACCUCCUGCAGUCUCUAUACUCCUGGUUUUUUGUUUGGUUUUUUUUCUUCCACCUUGUGUGCCAUAAUUCUCGCCAAGUUGACAUUUAUGAUGUGUGCGCAUGUGAUUUUCAACGUUCGCGAUUUCACUGCGAUAAAACAAUGAAAAUAAAGUCAUGACUUGGCUUCCCGCAUGGUUUCCUUGCUUGACUACUCCCAGCCAAGUGUUAAAUAA